ACUUGAAAGCGGUGGAUCACUCGGCUCGUGUGUCAAUGAAGAAUGCAGCUAGCUGCGAGAACUAAUGUGAAUUGCAGGACACACUGAUCAUUGACACUUCGAACACACCUUGUGGCCCCGGGUUCCUCCGGGUGCCACGCCUGUCUGAGGGUUG
This 154-nucleotide ribosomal RNA is filed under the name Monopterus albus (swamp eel). RNAcentral describes it as "5.8S ribosomal RNA (ENSMALG00000011275.1)". It matches the Rfam family "5.8S ribosomal RNA". From Rfam's summary of the family: 5.8S ribosomal RNA (5.8S rRNA) is a component of the large subunit of the eukaryotic ribosome. It is transcribed by RNA polymerase I as part of the 45S precursor that also contains 18S and 28S rRNA. Functionally, it is thought that 5.8S rRNA may be involved in ribosome translocation. Lineage: Eukaryota; Metazoa; Chordata; Actinopteri; Synbranchiformes; Synbranchidae. The record is from RNAcentral.